CUCCGGCUGAGGAGGGGACCCCGUGCGUGCGGGUGAGAUGGGGCUUAGCCCUGAAGUUUUCAAGGGUUCCCCUUUCAUGUGGGUGGAACUGGGGUGCCCUCCGGCUGAGGAGGGGACCCCGUGCGUGCGGGUGAGAUGGGGCUUAGCCCUGAAGUUUUCAAGGGUUCCCCUUGCGUGCAGGUCAAACUGGGGUGCCCUCCGGCUGAGGAGGGGACCCCGUGCGUGCGGGUGAGAUGGGGCUUAGCCCUGAAGUUUUCAAGGGUUCCCCUUGCGUGUGGGUGGAACUGGGGUGCCCUCCGGCUGAGGAGGGGACCCCGUGCGUGCGGGUGAGAUGGGGCUUAGCCCUGAAGUUUUCAAGGGUUCCCCUUGCAUGUGGGUGGAACUGGGGUGCCCUCCGGCUGAGGAGGGGACCCCGUGCGUGCGGGUGAGAUGGGGCUUAGCCCUGAAGUUUUCAAGGGUUCCCCUUGCAUGUGGGUGGAACUGGGGUGCCCUCCGGCUGAGGAGCGGACCCCGUGCGUUGGGUAGGAGCCCCUGGUGAAGGGGUCUCUCCUCUGAGUGUGUGUGUGUGUGUACCUGUUUCUUGUUGCAUUUGCAGGUCCACUGUCUCCUGCAUAGCUGACGUGGCCUUGGUGCAAUGUAGGGUCUGUCUCUGCUCUCGUCUUCAUGCCCAUCUUCUGUCUGACGGCCACGUGCAGGUAUCCGAGGCUGAGCUUCUGGCUGGCACUGCGCUUUGUCUCAAGGAUCUCCUCUUUCACAAGCUCCCUCGGUUCCAUUUUCUCAUUUCUAGGUUAAAAGAAGUAUAAGCACAAGUUAUUUGCUAGCAACUUCUGUCUGCUGCGGUUCUGCUUGUUUCUUUCAGCCCGCCCCUCCCGUAUUGGUUUUCUUUCAGCUGUCAGUUCCUACUUUGCCAAUACUGACCAAAUUAUCCUGUUAGCACAUUUCUUUUAUUUUUGCCAUGGCUGAGAAGGGGUGUGAGCUGCACAGAAAUGAAAAGAUUAAUAUAACUGGGGGCAUGCAGUCCUACGGCUCUGGAGUGAGCAGCUCCAUGUUUGUGCAGCAUGUGGGAAAGCUGCAGUCUGGACGUCCUGAACGUGAACGCUGCAGCUCAGCUCAGUGUGUGUCAGCCUCUGUCUGCAAGCAAACCCUCCCCGGCCAAAGGCCGAAGGCCAAAGGCCAAAUCCCAAAUCCCAAAUCCCAAAUCCCAAAUCCCCGCCUCCAUUGCUAACAUCAGAGCACAGCAAGCCGUACGUGUGCAGAAGCAUCCCAGAUUCCUAUGGCUCUGUAGCGGUGCGCUAAAGAGGGCCUCGGUCCUACAGCCUCACGGCAGGAACUUGGCAAACAAGGAGCUUCUCACGGGACUGCUCACUUGCAUCCACUGCCAUCGCAUCCACAGCCCGCAGCCCGCAGCCCGCAGCCGUCGGGUGAAGCCCUCAAGAGUACAACGGAGGUCGAGUGCUGAAAGCACGGGAGAGUUCCCGCAGCAACUGCUGCUAACAGCAGACGCUCCCAGCAACUCCAAGGAAGCCCUGAGAGCCCCGAGCCGUGCCCCAGGACCGCUUCCUCUCUCGAUUCACCGCCACCGCCACGGGAAAAGCAGACGGGAAAAGGGCACCGACGAAAGCUGCCGAUCGCG
This is a long non-coding RNA of Gallus gallus (chicken), 1633 nucleotides long. The record is from Ensembl. Lineage: Eukaryota; Metazoa; Chordata; Aves; Galliformes; Phasianidae.